This 468-nucleotide ribosomal RNA is filed under the name uncultured bacterium. RNAcentral describes it as "partial 16S ribosomal RNA". It matches the Rfam family "Bacterial small subunit ribosomal RNA", at positions 28 to 507 of the family's 1533-position model. The record is from RNAcentral.
GACGAACGCUGGCGGCGGGCUUAACACAUGCAAGUCGAACGGAAAGGCCCUGCUUGUGUGGUGUGCUCGAUUGGCGAACGGGUGAGUAACACGUGAGUAACCUGCCCUUGACUUUGGGAUAACUUCAGGAAACUGGGGCUAAUACCGGAUAGGAUCUCCUGCUGCAUGGUGGGGGGGGGAAAGUUGCGGCUGGUGGGAAUGGACUCGCGGCUUAUCAGCUUGUUGGUGGGGUAGUGGCUUACCAAGGGUGUGACGGGUAGCCCGCAGGUGAGGGUGACCGGGCACAUUGGGACUGCGAUACGGACCAGACUCGAACGGGAGACAGCAGUGGGGAAUAUUGCCCAAUGGGAGGAAGCCUGAUGAAGAAGCGCCGCGUGCGGGAUGACGGCCUUCGGGUUGUAAAACGCUUUCGCCUGUGACGCCGCGUGAGUGACGGUAAUGGGUAAAGAAGCACCGGCUAACUACGUG